CUUCUCGCCACCGGCGUCCACCGCCGAGCCGAGCCGAGCCGAGCGAACGAGCCCCUCCACUCCCCAACUCUCCCUACCAUCUCACGCACACCGGCCGUCCACCUCGCCGUUUCGGUCCCCGCAUUGUCCAACACCUCUGGUCCCCGCGCGCUUCGCCGGAGACUCGCCGCGAAAGCAUAGUUGAUGAGUGCCACCAGCUCCAAGGCUGCCAGCAACAAGAAGAAACGAUCAAGGCGCGUCCUGUUGAAGUCUGCUCCAUCUAGCCACCCUCUUCCGCCAUCUCCGUGCCGUGACGCAUUGUUCACUAGCUGUAUGAAGGCACAUGCCAACCAGGCUGCUAUUCCAGCAACGAUGGAUUGCGCCGCCGGUGCUACCAGCUUCAUUUCUGGGGAUGACUCGCUCUUUAUGAACUCAAUCAGUCCACUGAAGGAUGCUGCAUCCAUGAUGCUUAGCAGGAAGAAUUGCAGCACCAACCAGAACACGGACAUCGGGACGCCUGCUCCUGUCGAUGUUAGUCCAUGCUGUUCUGCGACGGUCAGCCUUCUUGUUUCCACUAACGCCGCAAGGCAUGCUGCUGCUACCCCGCACACCGAGCCAGCACCGAUACUCUGCAGUGGGGUGAUUCCGUGUGUGUGGCCUGUAAAUCUUUUUAGCAGUGGCGUCAAUAUCUGCCUGUAGCAUGGUUGCAUAAGCAUGUGAAAUGCUGUUGGGAUUGCAAUGAGAGAGGCGGAAGGUAUCUGGAUCGCGCCUAUCCCUUUGUCCAUGGUGCUGCCGACUUGUAUCGUUAGUGUCAUUAGCAGCGUGAAGGGCAGGUAGAUGAGCAAGCAGCUGAUGAAGAUUGGAAGCAUUUGGGUGAUGGCCUUUGUUAACUCCUCGACCCGAGUGGUGCUGCAGAAUGAAAAUGAAUUGUUACCUCCAUCAAAUAUAUUCUAGAUUUUUCUAAGAAUAUGCUAAAAGGAUUAUAGUUGAGUACUUGAGUUAAUAUCACGAUAUUGCUACGUCCGGGCAUUUCUUUUACUCUUUAAAUUGUUGACAUCCUAGGUUGUAACACUUCUACUUAUUUUCAGAAAUAUAAAUGUACUAACAAUUAGCUAAA
This is a long non-coding RNA of Triticum aestivum (bread wheat), 1096 nucleotides long. RefSeq lists it as uncharacterized. Lineage: Eukaryota; Viridiplantae; Streptophyta; Magnoliopsida; Poales; Poaceae. The transcript is spliced from 2 exons. The record is from RefSeq and is a predicted model, not a curated record.